This 575-nucleotide ribosomal RNA is filed under the name uncultured haloarchaeon. RNAcentral describes it as "bacterial SSU rRNA". It matches the Rfam family "Archaeal small subunit ribosomal RNA", at positions 340 to 914 of the family's 1478-position model. Lineage: Archaea; Methanobacteriati; Methanobacteriota; Halobacteria; Halobacteriales; Halobacteriaceae. The record is from RNAcentral.
CGCGAAACCUUUACACUGCACGCAAGUGCGAUAAGGGGACCCCGAGUGCGAGGGCAUACAGUCCUCGCUUUUCACUACCGUACGAUGGUAGUGGAAUAAGAGCUGGGCAAGACCGGUGCCAGCCGCCGCGGUAAUACCGGCAGCUCGAGUGAUGGCCGAUCUUAUUGGGCCUAAAGCGUUCGUAGCCGGCCACACAAGUCCACCGGGAAAUCCGCCAGCCCAACUGGCGGGCGUCCGGUGGAAACUGUGUGGCUAGGGACCGGAAGACCCGAAGGGUACGUCUUGGGUAGGAGUGAAAUCCUGUAAUCCUGGACGGACCGCCGAUAGCGAAAGCACUUSGGGAAGACGGAUCCGACGGUGAGGGACGAAAGCCAGGGUCUCGAACCGGAUUAGAUACCCGGGUAGUCCUGGCCGUAAACGAUGUCUGCUAGGUGUGGCUCCCACUACGAGUGGGUGCUGUGCCGUAGGGAAGCCGCUAAGCAGACCGCCUGGGAAGUACGUCCGCAAGGAUGAAACUUAAAGGAAUUGGCGGGGGAGCACUACAACCGGAGGAGCCUGCGGUCUAAUUGGAAUCA